AUUGAACGCUGGCGGCAGGCUUAACACAUGCAAGUCGAACGAGUGGCGGACGGGUGGGUAAUGCUUGGGAAUCUGGCUUAUGGAGGGGGAUAACGACGGGAAACUGUCGCUAAUAACGGGUACCAUAGGCUGAGCCCAAGUGGGAUUAGGUAGUUGGUGGGGUAAUGGCCUACCAAGCCGAUGAUCUCUAGCGGGUCGAAGAGGAUGACCAGCAACACGGGGACUGAAACACGGCCCGGACUCCUACGGGAGGCAGCAGGGGGGAAUAUUGAGCAAUGGGGGCAACCUGAAGCAGCCAUGCCGCGUGAAUGAAGAAGGCCUUCGGGUUGUAAAGUGCUUUCGGUGACGAGGCGUUAUUCACAGAAGAAGCACCGGCUAACUACGUGCCAGCAGCCGCGUAAUAC
Molecule: ribosomal RNA, 404 nt
Filed under: uncultured bacterium
Lineage: Bacteria
Description: partial 16S ribosomal RNA
Rfam family: Bacterial small subunit ribosomal RNA
Source: RNAcentral